CUACGGGGUGCACCGGUGAGGAAUUUUGCGCAAUGGGGGAAACCCUGACGCAGCAACGCCGCGUGAGCGAAGAAGGCCCUCGGGUCGUAAAGCUCUGUCAAGUGGGAAAAAAAUUCUUUGAUCAAUAGUCAAAGGACUUGAUGGUACCACUGGAGGAAGCACCGGCUAACUCCGUGCCAGCAGCCGCGGUAAUACGGAGGGUGCAAGCGUUGUUCGGAUUUACUGGGCGUAAAGAGCGUGUAGGCGGUUUAGCAAGUCAGAUGUGAAAGCCCUGGGCUCAACCCGGGAAGUGCAUUUGAACUGCUUCACUAGAGUAUGGGAGAGGAGAUUGGAGUUCCUGGUGUAGAGGUGAAAUUCGUAGAUAUCAGGAGGAACACCCGUGGCGAAGGCGAUUCUCUGGACCAAUACUGACGCUGAGACGCGAAAGCGUGGGGAGCAAACAGGAUUAGAUACCCUGGUAGUC
This 463-nucleotide ribosomal RNA is filed under the name uncultured bacterium. Its description in RNAcentral is "partial 16S ribosomal RNA". It matches the Rfam family "Bacterial small subunit ribosomal RNA", at positions 339 to 795 of the family's 1533-position model. The record is from RNAcentral.